RNAcentral lists this ribosomal RNA (429 nucleotides) under Acidobacteriota bacterium. RNAcentral describes it as "Acidobacteria bacterium partial 16S ribosomal RNA". It matches the Rfam family "Bacterial small subunit ribosomal RNA", at positions 355 to 776 of the family's 1533-position model. Lineage: Bacteria; Pseudomonadati; Acidobacteriota. The record is from RNAcentral.
UGGGGAAUUUUGGACAAUGGGGGAAACCCUGAUCCAGCCAUCCCGCGUGUGCGAUGAAGGCCUUCGGGUUGUAAAGCACUUUUGGCAGGAAAGAAACGUCAUGGGUUAAUACCCCGUGAAACUGACGGUACCUGCAGAAUAAGCACCGGCUAACUACGUGCCAGCAGCCGCGGUAAUACGUAGGGUGCAAGCGUUCAUCGGAAUUACUGGGCGUAAAGCGUGCGCAGGCGGUUCGGAAAGAAAGAUGUGAAAUCCCAGAGCUCAACUUUGGAACUGCAUUUUUAACUACCGGGCUAGAGUGUGUCAGAGGGAGGUGGAAUUCCGCGUGUAGCAGUGAAAUGCGUAGAUAUGCGGAGGAACACCGAUGGCGAAGGCAGCCUCCUGGGAUAACACUGACGCUCAUGCACGAAAGCGUGGGGAGCAAACAGG